This 253-nucleotide long non-coding RNA is filed under the name Mytilus galloprovincialis (Mediterranean mussel). The record is from RNAcentral. Lineage: Eukaryota; Metazoa; Mollusca; Bivalvia; Mytilida; Mytilidae.
CAAAUAAAUGAUCGUAUAAAAACCAUCAGAUAUAGUAAGUUUCAUCUAGAAAUGUUUUGAUAUGUAACGAAAUCACUGCUGUUGGGAAUGGCGAAAAAUCUGAAAUUCAGACAUAUUUGUUUCACUGCACAUUAAUUUGUAUGUUUUAAAAAAAAAGGUUGUCUUAAAAAGCCUUAUAACACGAACCCCUUAUACAUGUGUAAGUGCAUUUGCCAUUGGUAUCUUUUCCAUUCUAGUUAUUUAUUUCUCCAAC